GGUUUUUCGUGAGGGAGGUUGUAAUAGCGUGAGGUACUGGUACGUAGCUGUAUACAAGCAAGAGUUUUAGUCAGGUUACGAGUAUAGGUUGCCAUGAUGCGAAGAGCAAGACAUAUCGGUUUUUAAAUCGAGGGGCUUGAUGCUGGCGCCUGCGUAAACAACAGACACUGUGCUCGGCCUUCGUGCUUAAUCCACUCAACACCUGUGCACCUUAUCGAAGUUAGUAGUCUUUCCUCCUUAGUUGGAGCCGCCGGGGUUGACUUUGUUAGUAGUGUUUCGACGCGAAAGCAUAUGGUCGGCCUUGGCUGGGAUUGACGAACUCUUUGACUUCAUCAUACACACUUUAAUUGUCUUGUAGAAUGUAAUGCUCCUUGUGGGCGAAAUGAAAUACAACUUUCAACAACGGAUCUCUUGGCUCUCGCAUCGAUGAAGAACGCAGCGAAAUGCGAUAAGUAAUGUGAAUUGCAGAAUUCAGUGAAUCAUCGAAUCUUUGAACGCACCUUGCGCCCCUUGGUAUUCCGAGGGGCAUGCCUGUUUGAGUGUCAUGUUAACAUCAAACCCCUUGCUUGUAAAGGCUCGGGGCUUGAAUUUGGAGGUUUGUGCCGGCCUGCUUCAUUGUCAGUUGUCGGCUCCUCUUAAAUGGAUUAGCUGGACUUUUGGUCUGCGUGUCGGUGUGAUAGUUUAUUCACCAAAUCCGCUUUUCCCUAAUGGUCUGCUUCUAAUGGUCUUUCGGACAGGUCUUUUAACAGCCUUUCUUGACUUCUUUUGGACCUUCAAAAUCAGGGGUAGAGUACCUAACCCCCCAGCCUUGGAAAACGCG
This 820-nucleotide small RNA is filed under the name Porodaedalea pini. Its description in RNAcentral is "eukaryotic LSU rRNA". The stretch from base 392 to 545 matches the Rfam family "5.8S ribosomal RNA". The record is from RNAcentral. Lineage: Eukaryota; Fungi; Basidiomycota; Agaricomycetes; Hymenochaetales; Hymenochaetaceae.